AGCUAAUAGAUACCCUGGUAGUCCACGCCCUAAACGAUGUCUACUAGUUGUUGGUGGAGUAAAAUCCAUGAGUAAACGCAGCUAACGCGUGAAGUAGACCGCCUGGGGAGUACGGUCGCAAGAUUAAAAACUCAAAGGAAUUGACGGGGGGCCCGCACAAGCGGUGGAUUAUGUGGAUUAAUUCGAUGCAACGCAAAAACCUUACCUGGCCUUGACAUGCCACUAACGAAGCAGAGAUGCAUUAGGUGCCCGUAACGGGAAAGUGGACACAGGUGCUGCAUGGCUGUCGUCAGCUCGUGUCGUGAGAUGUUGGGUUAAGUCCCGCAACGAGCGCAACCCUUGCCAUUAAUUGCCAUCAUUUAGUUGGGCACUUUAAUGGGACUGCCGGUGACAAACCGGAGGAAGGUGGGGAUGACGUCAAGUCCUCAUGGCCCUUAUGGCCAGGGCUUCACACGUAAUACAAUGGUCGGUACAGAGAGUUGCCAACCCGCGAGGGGUAGCUAAUCUCAGAAAGCCGAUCGUAGUCCGGAUUGUUCU
Molecule: ribosomal RNA, 537 nt
Filed under: uncultured bacterium
Lineage: Bacteria
Description: bacterial SSU rRNA
Rfam family: Bacterial small subunit ribosomal RNA
Source: RNAcentral